GCACCUCAUAGCAACCCUGUCGAUUCUGUGCAGUGUUUGACACGGGUCACGCCGGUGCCAUAGAGACGCAACGUAUAACCAGAUGGUCUUCCUCUUCCCGUGGAGCCCGUCUCUACAGCUUUGAUACACAA
Pleuronectes platessa (European plaice) is the source of this 131-nucleotide small nucleolar RNA. RefSeq annotates it as small nucleolar RNA SNORA55. Lineage: Eukaryota; Metazoa; Chordata; Actinopteri; Pleuronectiformes; Pleuronectidae. The record is from RefSeq and is a predicted model, not a curated record. The transcript has a single exon.